AUUGAACGCUGGCGGCAUGCUUUACACAUGCAAGUCGAACGGCAGCACGGACUUCGGUCUGGUGGCGAGUGGCGAACGGGUGAGUAAUAUAUCGGAACGUACCCUGGAGUGGGGGAUAACGUAGCGAAAGUUACGCUAAUACCGCAUACGAUCUAAGGAUGAAAGUGGGGGAUCGCAAGACCUCAUGCUCCUGGAGCGGCCGAUAUCUGAUUAGCUAGUUGGUGAGGUAAAGGCUCACCAAGGCGACGAUCAGUAGCUGGUCUGAGAGGACGACCAGCCACACUGGAACUGAGACACGGUCCAGACUCCUACGGGAGGCAGCAGUGGGGAAUUUUGGACAAUGGGGGCAACCCUGAUCCAGCAAUGCCGCGUGAGUGAAGAAGGCCUUCGGGUUGUAAAGCUCUUUUGUCAGGGAAGAAACGGGCUUGGCUAAUAUCCAGGCCUAAUGACGGUACCUGAAGAAUAAGCACCGGCUAACUACGUGCCAGCCGCCGCAGUAA
This 500-nucleotide ribosomal RNA is filed under the name uncultured bacterium. RNAcentral describes it as "partial 16S ribosomal RNA". It matches the Rfam family "Bacterial small subunit ribosomal RNA", at positions 30 to 523 of the family's 1533-position model. The record is from RNAcentral.